This 320-nucleotide ribosomal RNA is filed under the name Facetotecta sp. RNAcentral describes it as "partial large subunit ribosomal RNA". Lineage: Eukaryota; Metazoa; Arthropoda; Thecostraca. The record is from RNAcentral.
UUGCAAAGGUAGCAUAAUAAUUAGUUUAUUGAUUGUAAAAUAGUAUGAAUGAAUGAAUGAAAUUUUUAUUGUCUUAGUUUUAUUUGAUUGAAUUUUAUUUUUUUAUUAAAAAGUUAAAAUUUUUUAGCAGGACGAGAAGACCCUAUAAAUCUUUAAAUGAUUUUUUUUUUGAAUCUUAAUUGUUUUUAACUGGGGCGGUUGAUGAAAAUUUUAACUUCAUUUUCAAUUUAUUAAUUUUUUUGAAAAUUUAUAUUUUGUUGAUUUUUUUUUAUUGAAAUUAUAAGUUUAAGUUACUUUAGGGAUAACAGCGUAAUUGUUUU